UAAGGAAUAUUGGACAAUGGAGGCAACUCUGAUCCAGCCAUGCCGCGUGAGUGAUGAAGGCCCUAGGGUUGUAAAGCUCUUUCACCGGUGAAGAUAAUGACGGUAACCGGAGAAGAAGCCCCGGCUAACUUCGUGCCAGCAGCCGCGGUAAUACGAAGGGGGCUAGCGUUGUUCGGAAUUACUGGGCGUAAAGCGCACGUAGGCGGAUCGAUCAGUUAGGGGUGAAAUCCCGGGGCUCAACCCCGGAACUGCCUCUAAUACUGUCGAUCUGGAGUUCGAGAGAGGUCAGUGGAAUUCCGAGUGUAGAGGUGAAAUUCGUAGAUAUUCGGAGGAACACCAGUGGCGAAGGCGGCUCACUGGCUCGAUACUGACGCUGAGGUGCGAAAGCGUGGGGAGCAAACA
This 402-nucleotide ribosomal RNA is filed under the name uncultured bacterium. Its description in RNAcentral is "bacterial SSU rRNA". It matches the Rfam family "Bacterial small subunit ribosomal RNA", at positions 355 to 774 of the family's 1533-position model. The record is from RNAcentral.